Molecule: ribosomal RNA, 398 nt
Filed under: uncultured bacterium
Lineage: Bacteria
Description: bacterial SSU rRNA
Rfam family: Bacterial small subunit ribosomal RNA
Source: RNAcentral
GACGAACGCUGGCGGCGUGCUUAACACAUGCAAGUCGAGCGGUAAGGCCCUUUCGGGGGUACACGAGCGGCGAACGGGUGAGUAACACGUGGGUGACCUGCCCUCAGCUCUGGGAUAAGCCUGGGAAACUGGGUCUAAUACUGGAUAUGACUCCACGGUGCAUGUCGUGGGGUGGAAAGCCUUGUGCGGCUGAGGAUGGGCCCGCGGCCUAUCAGCUUGUUGGUGGGGUGANGGCCUACCAAGGCGACGACGGGUAGCCGGCCUGAGAGGGCGACCGGCCACACUGGGACUGAGGCACGGCCCAGACUCCUACGGGAGGCAGCAGUGGGGAAUCUUGCGCAAUGGGCGAAAGCCUGACGCAGCGACGCCGCGUGAGGGAUGACGGCCUCGGUUGUAAC